GGUGGAACUCUCACAUUGACUUUAAGGACAGCAAGACCUGGGAUCCUUCUUCAACCUUCUAGCUGGUUGACUUUAGAGAACGUAGAAGAUUUUCAUUUCUACAGGCCACCACCCUUUGUUUGCAAUCAUCAUUAGCAUUUGCCAUUGGCACAUCAACAGUCCAUUACGAUUCUCAAAUUGGAGCUCACUUCACUUCCAUUUUGACCAACUCCAUGGUGGGCUGUAGGAGUCUCAUCGGCACAUUGGAAAAAAGAGGCCUCAAGUGGGGAAGGCUGCCUACUUCAUAGCUGUUCCAGGACAAAGCCAGAGCCCAGCCCCAAUGCACGGAGAGUCUCAGGCAGGGUUCUGAGUGACCUGGCUGAUCCUGAAGCUGGAGCUGAUACCGGAGCCAGCUCCAAGUGGAUUAUCUGGGACUGGCCUUGACUGUGCUGCAGAGUGGCCUGUGGGUGGACACUCUCUGAGCACCUGGAUCUGAUGCAAACAUUGACAUCGGCAGAAUCAUCUUGACCAAGUGGGGUGAGGGCAGGGCAGGGCAGGGCGGGGCUGAAGGGACAGGCCUUGCAUACCAUCCAGGUACACCCAGGGAUCUGGAAUCCCAGGGGCUUGCCCAAAUUUUAUCCCCUGGAUACAUUACUCCCCUCUGGGGCUACUACAUAGGCCCCUUUUGGGAGGGUCCCUGAGAGUGAGGAAAGGGCAGUAAUGGUCAGAGCCCCUACGCCUCCAGAAGGCAGCCUAUCAUGUGGGGAAUUUCCUUCAAAGGCCAGGAAAUCAUAACCGCUGCUGAGCACAGGUUGUAUGCCAGGCCCACCCAGCACUUGCCUGGCAUUUUCCGUGGGUCCUCAGAAGCAGACAGACCUCCAGCUUCAGAGCCAUCAGGACCAGGAUAGUGGGAGAUGGCUCCGGCCUGGAACUUCCCACUGCUCAGGGCUGCAACAGAGGUGGUGGGGACAGGAACGCAGGGAGAAUAGGAGCUGUUGUCUGAGAGGGACAGGGGUUUAGCUUUGCUUCCCUUCAUUUGUUACUAAAGAAAAGAAAAUAAUCUGACUUUAAACUAACAAAUACAGUACGCCAGCUGCAGGCCAGACUGCCCACGUGUGAAACCUAGAAAAAACCUUGAGUUCAUCUGUCUAAACAUGGAGAAACUGAGGCCCACAGACAUGACAGGACUGGCCCGACUUGAUGAACCAGGACUUUAAUAUAGGUGUCUCUGCUCCUUGUGUAUCGUAAUUUCCAUCCAGGAAGGGAGGGGCUGUUAUCCUAAAGGUGUCAGACUUCAGGUAACGAGGACCUGCACCCUCCUCUUCCUCACACUUCAUGUACCACCUCUUGCCCACAACCCCAUUCAGAAUGAGUCACCCAAGCAUUAACAGUAAAUAAAGGUACUGUCUCUGGGUGGCCAAUUUUCUCUUUCCAAAAGGACUCUAUGAUGACAGAAUCCAAACAAAAAUCCUCACUUAAACGAAAAUGAAGACUUACAUCUGCUAUGAAGCACCACAGAGUCUUGUUUGUAACUCAUGGAUGAUUUCAUGUGGUUUGGAUAAUGGUUUGCAUACUUGGGUCUGUCUGGCCCACCAGACUGUAAUCCCCUCGAGGGCCAGAAAGGAGUCUUGUUCUGCACUGAGUUUUCCUGGUGCCUGCUCGCAGCAGAUGCUUAAUAAAUGUUUGUUGAAUUAAAAUGGAAAAUGACUGGUGCCCGGGUGGCUCAAAUGGUUUAACAUCCGACCCUUGAUUUCUACUCAGGUCGAAAAUGUCAAUAAAGAGGAGGAAGCUGUUACCAUCGACAUGAAUGAGGCAGUUCAGCUAACUUUUGCACUUGGGAUACUUGAACUUCUUUCCAAAAGCCACUCCACUCUCUCCUACAGUAACACUCAGUAUGUCUGCAGAGGUACCCUUUGUUGUAGAGUAUAAAAUUGCUGAUAGGAGACAUUUAAAGUACUAUUUGGCUCCCAAGAUCAAGGAUGAAGAAGGAUCUUAGACAUUCUUAAAAUCCAAGAAAAUAAAAUUAAGCUCUUGAGAAAUGCUUCUGAGAUGCCAGCAUGUACUUAAGUCUCUUCUGUCACCAAAUUUGUUCCUCUCUGUACAUAUUAGAUAUUUUCUGUAAAUAACCUAUU
Long non-coding RNA from Lynx canadensis (Canada lynx), 2111 nucleotides. RefSeq lists it as uncharacterized. The record is from RefSeq and is a predicted model, not a curated record. The transcript has 3 exons. NCBI's taxonomy places the organism in Eukaryota, Metazoa, Chordata, Mammalia, Carnivora, Felidae.